AGGGUGAAGCNUUANUCGGAAUUACUGGGCGUAAAGCGUGCGCAGGCGGUUCGGAAAGAAAGAUGUGAAAUCCCAGGGCUCAACCUUGGAACUGCAUUUUUAACUACCGGACUAGAGUAUGUCAGAGGGGGGUGGAAUUCCACGUGUAGCAGUGAAAUGCGUAGAUAUGUGGAGGAACACCGAUGGCGAAGGCAGCCCCCUGGGAUAAUACUGACGCUCAUGCACGAAAGCGUGGGGAGCAAACAGGAUUGGAUACCCUGGUAGUCCACGCCCUAAACGAUGUCAUCUAGCUGUUGGNCCCUUCGGGGCUUAGUAGCGCAGCUAACGCGUGAAGUUGACCGCCUGGGGAGUACGGUCGCAAGAUUAAAACUCAAAGGAAUUGACGGGGACCCGCACAAGCGGUGGAUGAUGUGGAUUAAUUCGAUGCAACGCGAAAAACCUUACCUACCCUUGACAUGUCUGGAAUCCUGAAGAGAUUUAGGAGUGCUCGCAAGAGAACCGGAACACAGGUGCUGCAUGGCUGUCGACAGCUCGUGUCGUGAGAUGUUGGGUUAAGUCCCGCAACGAGCGCAACCCUUGUCAUUAGUUGCUACAUUUAGUUGGAGCACUCUAAUGAGACUGCCGGUGACAAACCGGAGGAAGGUGGGGAUGACGUCAAGUCCUCAUGGCCCUUAUGGGUAGGGCUUCACACGUCAUACAAUGGUCGGGACAGAGGGUUGCCAAACCGCGAGGUGGAGCUAAUCUCAUAAACCCGAUCGUAGUCCGGAUUGCAGGCUGCAACUCGCCUGCAUGAAGUCGGAAUCGCUAGUAAUCGCGGAUCAGCAUNCCGCGGUGAAUACGUCCCCGGGUCUUGUACACACC
Molecule: ribosomal RNA, 861 nt
Filed under: unidentified beta proteobacterium S2
Lineage: Bacteria; Pseudomonadati; Pseudomonadota; Betaproteobacteria
Description: bacterial SSU rRNA
Rfam family: Bacterial small subunit ribosomal RNA
Source: RNAcentral